GACGAACGCUGGCGGCGUGCUUAACACAUGCAAGUCGAACGGAAAGGCCCUGCUUUUGUGGGGUGCUCGAGUGGCGAACGGGUGAGUAACACGUGAGUAACCUGCCCUUGACUUUGGGAUAACUUCAGGAAACUGGGGCUAAUACCGGAUAGGAGCUCCUGCUGCAUGGUGGGGGUUGGAAAGUUUCGGCGGUUGGGGAUGGACUCGCGGCUUAUCAGCUUGUUGGUGGGGUAGUGGCUUACCAAGGCUUUGACGGGUAGCCGGCCUGAGAGGGUGACCGGCCACAUUGGGACUGAGAUACGGCCCAGACUCCUACGGGAGGCAGCAGUGGGGAAUAUUGCACAAUGGGCGGAAGCCUGCUGCAGCAACGCCGCGUGCGGGAUGACGGCCUUCGGGUUGUAAACCGCUUUCGCCUGUGACGAAGCGUGGGUGACGGUAAUGGGUAAAGAAGCACCGGCUAACUACGUG
RNAcentral lists this ribosomal RNA (468 nucleotides) under uncultured bacterium. Its description in RNAcentral is "partial 16S ribosomal RNA". It matches the Rfam family "Bacterial small subunit ribosomal RNA", at positions 28 to 507 of the family's 1533-position model. The record is from RNAcentral.